Molecule: ribosomal RNA, 465 nt
Filed under: uncultured bacterium
Lineage: Bacteria
Description: bacterial SSU rRNA
Rfam family: Bacterial small subunit ribosomal RNA
Source: RNAcentral
CAAGUGGUGGAGCAUGUGGUUUAAUUCGAUGAUACGCGAGGAACCUUACCUAGGCUAGAAUGCGCGUGACCGGCUCAGAGAUGAGCUUUUCCUUCGGGACACAAAGCAAGGUGCUGCAUGGCCGUCGUCAGCUCGUGCCGUGAGGUGUUGGGUUAAGUCCCGCAACGAGCGCAACCCCUAUGUUUAGUUGCCAGCAUGUAAUGAUGGGGACUCUAGACAGACUGCCUGCGCAAGCAGUGAGGAAGGCGGGGACGACGUCAGGUCAUCAUGGCCCUUACGCCUAGGGCGACACACGUGCUACAAUGGACGGUACAGCGGGUAGCUACUGGGCGACCAGAUGCCAAUCUCGAAAAGCCGUUCUCAGUUCGGAUCGGAGUCUGCAACUCGACUCCGUGAAGCUGGAAUCACUAGUAAUCGCGCAUCAGCCAUGGCGCGGUGAAUACGUUCCCGGGCCUUGUACACACC